UAAAGGAUUUCGGUUAUCGAUGGGGAUGCGUUCCAUUAGUUAGUUGGCGGGGUAACGGCCCACCAAGACGACGAUGGAUAGGGGUUCUGAGAGGAAGGUCCCCCACAUUGGAACUGAGACACGGUCCAAACUCCUACGGGAGGCAGCAGUGAGGAAUAUUGGUCAAUGGACGAGAGUCUGAACCAGCCAAGUAGCGUGAAGGAUGACUGCCCUAUGGGUUGUAAACUUCUUUUAUAUGGGAAUAAAACAGGGUAUGCAUACCCUCUUGUAUGUACCAUAUGAAUAAGGAUCGGCUAACUCCGUGCCAGCAGCCGCGGUAAUACGGAGGAUCCGAGCGUUAUCCGGAUUUAUUGGGUUUAAAGGGAGCGUAGGUGGAUUGUUAAGUCAGUUGUGAAAGUUUGCGGCUCAACCGUAAAAUUGCAGUUGAAACUGGCAGUCUUGAGUACAGUAGAGGUGGGCGGAAUUCGUGGUGUAGCGGUGAAAUGCUUAGAUAUCACGAAGAACUCCGAUUGCGAAGGCAGCUCACUGGACUGCAACUGACACUGAUGCUCGAAAGUGUGGGUAUCAAACAGGAUUAGAUACCCUGGUAGUCCACACAGUAAACGAUGAAUACUCGCUGUUUGCGAUAUACAGUAA
Molecule: ribosomal RNA, 636 nt
Filed under: uncultured bacterium
Lineage: Bacteria
Description: bacterial SSU rRNA
Rfam family: Bacterial small subunit ribosomal RNA
Source: RNAcentral